GCUAAACGCGAAGAACCUUACCUGGCCUUGACAUGCACGGAAGCUUCCAGAGAUGGGAGUGUGCCUUCGGGAACCGUGACACAGGUGCUGCAUGGCUGUCGUCAGCUCGUGUCGUGAGAUGUUGGGUUAAGUCCCGCAACGAGCGCAACCCUUGUCCUGUGUUGCUAAUCUUCGGAUGCACUCUCAGGAGACCGCCAGCGACAAGCUGGAGGAAGGUGGGGAUGACGUCAAGUCAGCAUGGCCUUUAUGUCCAGGGCUACACACGUCAUACAAUGGCUGGUACAGAGGGUUGCCAACCCGCGAGGGGGAGGCCAAUCCCACAAAGCCAGUCGUAGUCCGGAUCGCAGUCUGCAACUCGACUGCGUGAAGUCGGAAUCGCUAGUAAUCGUGGAUCAGAAUGUCACGGUGAAUACGUUCCCGGGUCUUGUACACACCG
Molecule: ribosomal RNA, 436 nt
Filed under: uncultured bacterium
Lineage: Bacteria
Description: bacterial SSU rRNA
Rfam family: Bacterial small subunit ribosomal RNA
Source: RNAcentral